CGGAGACAAAGAGAAGCAUGGUCGUCAAUACUAACUCCUUUGCCAAGACUAUUUGUUCUAUCUGCUACGAAGAUCUCAAGCCCGUCGUCGAAGAUCUCCAGGCCAUCUCCAUCUGUGGCCAUGUCUUCCACGAACUCUGCUUGCAGCAAUGGUUCGAAUAUUGCUCGAACUCAAAGAAGUGCAGCUGUCCCGUGUGCAAGCAGAGCUGCUCGGGAAUCAAUGUCGUUCGGCUUUACUUCCAAUCACUGGGGGAUCAAAACGAACCGUUUAUGUCCCAGAAGGUAAAUGAUUGCAAGGAGGAUCCUGAGCUAUUGCUUGGAGAGGUGAGAAGAUUGGAGGUCAAAGUGUCAGGCCUCACUUCAAAUUUGGAGCGUCAAGGGAAGGAAAUCCAACAGCUUAAUGAGGAGUUGUACAUCUGCAAGGACCAGUUGAAGAAAGAAGUCAUAUUGAAGAAUGAUGCCAUGGAACAAAAGACUUCAACUCAGCAACUGCUUAUUUCAAAAUCUAAGGAGCUUGAUUCUCUGAAGUCGGAGUGCUUAAGGCUGCAAGACAGGAACAUGGCCUUGGCCAAAGAGCUUGCAGCUCUUAAACUGGUAUCUGAUCUGAACCUGGAGGAAGAUGAAAUUUUAAAGCUUGCAUCUUUUGGUAAUGAGGCCAACAACAAAGAUACGAUAGAUAUUCUAAGGAAGUCCUUGGUCAUUCGUAAUGUGAGUUACAAAGAAUUAAUGGCCAAGUGCAAUCAACUUGGAAGGGGCGAGGCACGUUCCUGUAAAAAGCUUGAGAAGGCAAAAGAAAAGAUAAAUAAACUUAAGACGAAGGUCAAAGAACUUGAGAUGGUGGUUGAAGUAAAGGAUAAUGCAGCUUUGAGGGCUUUAAAAGCCUCAAAGAAGGUUGAUUGUAAAGAGGAUGCUGUAAAUGGUACAAAUGUCAAUUCAAAUGAUUUUUCCACCUGUCAUUUUUUCUCAGAAGAUCAAAAGGAAAACCAUUCUAAAUCUGUGGUUAAAUUGGAUCAAACUGGAAAAUUGAACGGUGACCAAGGAAAUUUCAAUAUCAUUAAUGACAUGGGUGCCAUUUCCACCAAAGAGCAGACAAGCACCAUGGCUCUUAAUAAGGAGAGAAAUACUUGCUUUAUGCUAGAUGAGGCUGCUUCAGAAUUUCCUACAGUGCAUGUACUUUCAAAUACCGAUUCAAAAUAUCAAAACAGUGAAGAUGUGAAGUAUACAAUUGCUAAGUCAGAAGCAAUCUCUAACAUCAACAGCAAAGCUAAAGUGAAAGGACUAGCUAACCCAGGCGGCUUUUCUGGUAUAAUACCUUGCAUCAACAGGGAUAAAGGCAACACUUUGGCUGCUUCUACUGACGAGGAAGUUACCUUGAUUCUUGAUGAUGUCAAACAUGUUCAACCUAUGCUCAACAUUAAAAAAGAAUCCCCAUCCCUAGUUCCACUUUCCAGUCCAGGGAAUAUAUGCUUUUCUGGUGGGUUGCUGGGUCCUGAUGGAUCAAAUCGGUAUCUGGGGAAAUGGUGCAAGCGUGGCCAAAAUAAGGGAUCAGUGGCCUUGCCAGGUACAAGCGGUAGUGGUAGGGGGGAUUUAAUUGCAGUUGGAUCAGAUGGAAGAGGUGGUAGAAUUAAAGUUCUGAGGUCCCUGAAUCCAUCCUCAAUGGAUACUAAGGAAAGUUCUGCAACUGCAAAGAGGUGCAAGUAUGGAACCAAAGCAAGUAAUUUGCAGUCUCAAGGUUGUUUGCAAAUAGAACACUUCUUUGGGAAGGCCACUCAUUAAUCAAAGGUUUGCAUGUUUCAGUGGUGGUUUCUUGAGGCUGAGGAAAAAAAAUGUAGUUCAGUUAUGUUGUCUGGAUAUUUGGAACGAAGACACUUCGGGUUUAUUAAUUAGAUUUUCAUCUUCCGACCUCUUGGCCUUCCGUAAUUUAAUCCAGUGGCAAAAUUGUUGAUGCUUUCGUAAGUUUGCAGUCUACCACCACGACCAUAUCUUCAAAUGAUGUCAGGCAAUCUUUUCGGAUUACAGGAUUAACUUAUUCAUUAGAAAAAAGAUGGCCUCCUGUUUUGAGUUUUGACUACUGUCCCUGUUAAAAGCCCCCUUUUGUUUAUAAAAAAAUAUUUUUCCUAUGUAUAGUAUUUUAUUAGCCUAUGAAUAAUAUUUUGUUUACCCUUUGUGAUGAUUCUGAUGGGAUUGAUGGCCCAAUUGGGCCGAUAACAAUCUGCAAAUGAUAUAUGAUAUA
This 2232-nucleotide unclassified non-coding RNA is filed under the name Hevea brasiliensis (rubber tree). The record is from RNAcentral. Lineage: Eukaryota; Viridiplantae; Streptophyta; Magnoliopsida; Malpighiales; Euphorbiaceae.